This 253-nucleotide ribosomal RNA is filed under the name uncultured bacterium. RNAcentral describes it as "partial 16S ribosomal RNA". It matches the Rfam family "Bacterial small subunit ribosomal RNA", at positions 524 to 776 of the family's 1533-position model. The record is from RNAcentral.
UACGAAGGGGGCUAGCGUUGCUCGGAAUUACUGGGCGUAAAGGGCGCGUAGGCGGCACUGUUAGUCAGGCGUGAAAGUCCUGGGCUCAACCUGGGAACUGCGCUUGAUACGGCAGAGCUAGAGGAUGGAAGAGGCUCGCGGAAUUCCCAGUGUAGAGGUGAAAUUCGUAGAUAUUGGGAAGAACACCGGUGGCGAAGGCAGCUUGCUACACAAUUAUUGACUCUGAUGCACGAAAGCGUGGGGAUCAAACAGG